This 496-nucleotide ribosomal RNA is filed under the name uncultured bacterium. RNAcentral describes it as "partial 16S ribosomal RNA". It matches the Rfam family "Bacterial small subunit ribosomal RNA", at positions 28 to 506 of the family's 1533-position model. The record is from RNAcentral.
GAUGAACGCUGGCGGCGUGCCUAAUACAUGCAAGUCGAGCGAACAGACGAGGAGCUUGCUCCUCUGACGUUAGCGGCGGACGGGUGAGUAACACGUGGAUAACCUACCUAUAAGACUGGGAUAACUUCGGGAAACCGGAGCUAAUACCGGAUAAUAUAUUGAACCGCAUGGUUCAAUAGUGAAAGACGGUUUUGCUGUCACUUAUAGAUGGAUCCGCGCCGCAUUAGCUAGUUGGUAAGGUAACGGCUUACCAAGGCGACGAUGCGUAGCCGACCUGAGAGGGUGAUCGGCCACACUGGAACUGAGACACGGUCCAGACGCCUACGGGAGGCAGCAGUAGGGAAUCUUCCGCAAUGGGCGAAAGCCUGACGGAGCAACGCCGCGUGAGUGAUGAAGGUCUUCGGAUCGUAAAACUCUGUUAUUAGGGAAGAACAAAUGUGUAAGUAACUAUGCACGUCUUGACGGUACCUAAUCAGAAAGCCACGGCGAACUACGG